UUUGUCAUCACUCAUGCUUCUCUCUGGUUUUCUCAAACUUCGGAAAGAAUCAAUUUUAAGACCCUUCGAGUUACUCAUCUUUGUCGUCGUUGGUUUGUCAGAACGCAAUGACUGCCUUUUAGCUUCAUCUUCAUAUAACUCUGCCAAGGCCAACUGCAAAUCCCGUGCGCUGGGCGGGCGGCCGCUACCGCGGUGCUGCCGCUCCCUCCGGAGACCUGGGCCGGCCGCCGACAUUUCCCCUUCCUGCUGCGCGGGAGAUGCCCCGCCGUCCGCCAUCUUCUGAGGGCGGCAACCCCUCCCGCGGGUCGCCUUGGGCGGGGCCAGCGCCGCGCGGCACUUCCGGCUGCCAUGGCAACGGAGCGGCCCCGCCCACGGGGCUGUUUCCAUGGAGACGGAUGGAGGCCCGCUGCCAUCGGAGAGGGCCUGGGCGGCGGGCUUCGUGCCUGUGUGCCUGUCCGCGUCCUCUCCUCCUCCUAGCAGAGGCAAAGCAAAGCUGCAUUCAUAAGCAAAGCAAAAUAAGUCUUUGUUCACAACUUCCCGUUGGUGGGCAGAGAUUUAGACGUUUCCAGGAGAGCAUUGCUUCAUCACUGCUUCAACUCUUUACAAAGAUAGGUAACAUCAGGACAAGGGGAAGUGGUUUAAGUUGAAGGAGGAAAGAUUUAGUCUGGAUAACAGGGGGGAUUUUUUUACAGAGAGAGUGAUGAGGUGCUGGAACAGGCUGCCUAGAGAGGUUGUGGAUGCCCCGUCCCUCGAGGUGUUCAAGACCAGGUUGGAUGGAGGCCCUGGGCAGCCUGGUCUAAUACCAGAUGUGGAGGAUGGUGUCCCUGCCUGUGGCAGGGGGUUUGGAGCCUGAUGAUCCUUGAG
Molecule: long non-coding RNA, 864 nt
Filed under: Gallus gallus (chicken)
Lineage: Eukaryota; Metazoa; Chordata; Aves; Galliformes; Phasianidae
Source: RNAcentral